Molecule: ribosomal RNA, 495 nt
Filed under: uncultured bacterium
Lineage: Bacteria
Description: partial 16S ribosomal RNA
Rfam family: Bacterial small subunit ribosomal RNA
Source: RNAcentral
GACGAACGCUGGCGGCGUGCCUAAUACAUGCAAGUAGAACGCUGAAGGAGGAGCUUGCUUCUCUGGAUGAGUUGCGAACGGGUGAGUAACGCGUAGGUAACCUGCCUGGUAGCGGGGGGUAACUAUUGGAAACGAUAGCUAAUACCGCAUAACAGUAGAUAUCGCAUGAUAUCUACUUGAAAGGUGCAAUUGCAUCACUACCAGAUGGACCUGCGUUGUAUUAGCUAGUUGGUGAGGUAACGGCUCACCAAGGCGACGAUACAUAGCCGACCUGAGAGGGUGAUCGGCCACACUGGGACUGAGACACGGCCCAGACUCCUACGGGAGGCAGCAGUAGGGAAUCUUCGGCAAUGGACGGAAGUCUGACCGAGCAACGCCGCGUGAGUGAAGAAGGUUUUCGGAUCGUAAAGCUCUGUUGUAAGAGAAGAACGAGUGUGAGAGUGGAAAGUUCACACUGUGACGGUAUCUUACCAGAAAGGGACGGCUAACUACGUG